CUAGUUGGCAAAUUGAUUUAUCUCACUAUAACUAGACCUGACAUUUGUUUUGCUGUGAAUCAGGUGAGUCAACACAUGCAAGUACCUAAGGAACAUCAUUGGCGCAUGGUGGAAAGGAUCUUGAUGUAUCUCAACGGCUCACCUGAUCAAGGAGUAUGGAUGGGCUGCAAUGGAAGCACUGAAGUGGUGGGAUACUGUGAUGCGGAUUGGGCUGGUGAUAGAGCAGACAGGAGAUCAACCACAGGCUAUUGCACAUUCAUUGGAGGCAACUUGGUGACUUGGAAGAGUAAGAAGCAGAAGGUGGUGUCUUGCUCAAGUGCAGAAGCUGAGUAUAGAGCUAUGCUGAAGCUCACCAACGAGUUAGUAUGGAUCAAAGGCAUCUUGAAGCAUUUGGAGAUUGAUCAAGCCACGCCAAUGACCAUGCAUUGUGACAACCAAGCAGCUAUCCACAUAGCCUCCAACUCGGUGUUCCAUGAGAGAACCAAGCACAUUGAAGUUGAUUGCCACAAGGUGAGGCAGAUGAUCAUCUUAGGAGUCAUCUUGCCAUGCUACACAAGAAGUGAAGAUCAGUUAGCGGAUGUGUUCACCAAGGCUGCAAGACAGAAGACAAUGGAGUCCAUUCACAUACGGUUGGGCCUCAUUGAUCUUGGGAAGAGAAGGAGUUGAUCCCCUUGGCUGUGAGGUCUUUACUCUUUUUCCCUUAUCAAGGUUUUAUCCCAAUGGGUUUUCCUUGGUAAGGUUUUUAAUGAGGAAGAUCUCAUAGCUAUCCAAGCUUAGGCUUUCACAAAGCUAAGCUUGAGGGGGAGUGUUGAGUUGAGUUGAUUAUAUUGGUAUGGAGAGAAGAGGAGUUGAAGAGGAGAAGAGAUGGAGAAGCUUAGGGGGUUUGGGUGUGAAUGGUACGGACGUCCGUACAAGGCCGUACAUGGCCGUACCGUCCGUACCAAAGGCCUCGACCAAAACUUACCCAACUCGACCAAGUGAAACGGUAACAAGGGAGUGUUACCUUGGGGACUUAAGGAGAAGGGAUUAGACCGUUGAGUGGAUAAGGGAAGAGCGUGCCAGGCUGGAACAGGCUGUAAAGAGGCAAAGCGUGUGAGCCUUACCAUCCAAUCAUCCGGAAAGCAACCUUGACUCUACAUGCUUCAAUAGUGCCCAUUUCGCCUCUUGUAAACCCUAAUGUCUUCUAUAUAAAUAUGUAACCUCACUCAUUAAUAAGAUCAGUCAGUUCGAGUCUCUCUAAUCUCUUAGACUAUGGUUUUCUCUUAGACACUAAACGGCUCUUUCUAGUCUCUUAAUCUUUCACAAACUUCUCUUAAUCACUUCCUAAACACUCUCUUUACUCUAAUCACUCUAAAGAUCUCUUAAUCUCAUACAAUCAUGGAUAAAGAAUGGAAGGAGUCGGUUGGAGCUGAGGCAGGAGCUAUGAUCAAGAAUGAUACAUGGUACGAGAGUGAGUUACCAAAAGGGAAGAAGGCUGUGACUAGUAGAUGGAUAUUCACAAUCAAGUACAAAGCGGAUGGAAAGAUUGAGAGGAAGAAGUCAAGGCUAGUUGCAAGAGGUUUCACUCAAACUUAUGGAGAAGAUUACAUAGAAACCUUUGCACCAGUAGCUAAACUACACACAAUCCGGAUUGUACUAAGCUUGGCUGUGAAUCUUGGAUGGGGGUUAUGGCAAAUGGAUGUGAAGAAUGCGUUUCUACAAGGUGAACUUGAGGAUGAAGUGUAUAUGCAUCCACCUCCAGGCCUUGAACACUUAGUGAAGAGAGGGAAUGUGUUAAGACUGAAGAAAGCUAUCUAUGGGCUGAAGCAAUCACCAAGAGCUUGGUAAAACAAGUUGAGCACUACUCUGAAUGGCCGAGGCUUCAAGAAGUCUGAACUAGAUCACACCCUCUUCACACUCACGACUCCCUCAGGUAUGAUUGCACUCCUUGUGUAUGUUGAUGAUAUCAUUAUCACAGGGAGUGAUAAGGAAGGUAUCAUAGCAACCAAGGAGUUUCUUAAAUCCAUGUUUGAGAUUAAAGACUUGGGAGAAAUGAAAUACUUUCUUGGAAUUGAGAUAUGUAGAUCCAAGGAAGGUUUGUUCAUGUCCCAAAGGAAGUAUACACUUGAUCUUUUGAAAGGUGCAGGUGCUUAUGGAGGCAAGACAGCAAGGAUGCCUAUGGAGGAUGGCUACAAAGUCCCACGAGAGGGGGAGAUUGAAGACAGCAAACCUUAUCAGGAUCCUAAACUCUAUAGAAAACUAGUUGGCAAAUUGAUUUAUCUUACUAUAACUAGACCUGACAUUUGUUUUGCUGUGAAUCAGGUGAGUCAACACAUGCAAGUGCCUAAGGAACAUCAUUGGCGCAUGGUGGAGAGGAUCUUGAUGUAUCUCAACGGCUCACCUGAUCAAGGAGUAUGGAUGGGCUGCAAUGGAAGCACUGAAGUGUUGGGAUACUGUGAUGCGGAUUGGGCUGGUGAUAGAGCAGACAGGAGAUCAACCACAGGCUAUUGCACAUUCAUUGGAGGCAACUUGGUGACUUGGAAGAGUAAGAAGCAGAAGGUGGUGUCUUGCUCAAGUGCAGAAGCUGAGUAUAGAGCAAUGCUGAAGCUCACCAACGAGUUAGUAUGGAUCAAAGGCAUCUUGAAGCAUUUGGAGAUUGAUCAAGCCACGCCAAUGACCAUGUAUUGUGACA
RNAcentral lists this long non-coding RNA (2671 nucleotides) under Brassica rapa (field mustard). Its description in RNAcentral is "long non-coding RNA (BRAP_LNC008825)". The record is from RNAcentral. Lineage: Eukaryota; Viridiplantae; Streptophyta; Magnoliopsida; Brassicales; Brassicaceae.